GCCUGGGUGGCUCAGUCGGUUAAGCGUCUGACUUCAGCUCAGGUCAUGAUCUCACAGUUCGUGAGUUCGAGCCCCGCAUCAGGCU
Molecule: transfer RNA, 85 nt
Filed under: Felis catus (domestic cat)
Lineage: Eukaryota; Metazoa; Chordata; Mammalia; Carnivora; Felidae
Rfam family: tRNA
About the family: Transfer RNA (tRNA) molecules are approximately 80 nucleotides in length.
Source: Rfam by way of RNAcentral